CUCCAUUGGAGCAGCGGUGCAUUCGCUAUGUUGACAACUUUAGUUUAGGUCAUAGGGGAGCCACAUCCACUGAGUAUUUUCUGAAGGCGCGAUAUGCUGUGAUCUUCUUGUACCGGAGGUGAAUUUUUCUGUGUAUCCUUCUUUUAUGUUUGUUUUUUGUUUACUACCUGUAACUCUUGUUCAGAGGAAGUUUUCAGCCAUUCUGUAGAUCCAUGAUGAUCCCUUACUUGAUUGCUUUGAGGCCACCGAAGGAUUAAACAUUCAAGGUCUUUGGUUUGUGCUUCAUCCUCUUCUUGUACCAUUAAAAAAGGGAAGGAAAACAAUAUAAAUAAAACGAUACCAAUAACUCUACUAGCAAUGCUUCACAUUAGAAUUUGCACUAAAAUAUGUGAUAAACUGAAAUAAAAGACUUGAUCAUGUAGGUCGUUAGUUAUAUGAAACAAUGAUGUUAACUGCCUUGUAAGAUUUUUUUUCCCUCUUCUUCCUCUAGAAGAUUCUUAAUUUUUAUCUUGAUCACUAAAGGCUGACAAAAUUCCAUCAUAUAUAUAAUUUCAUCAUAUAAUGCAAUU
Non-coding RNA from Arachis ipaensis, 569 nucleotides. The record is from RefSeq and is a predicted model, not a curated record. NCBI's taxonomy places the organism in Eukaryota, Viridiplantae, Streptophyta, Magnoliopsida, Fabales, Fabaceae.